RNAcentral lists this non-coding RNA (201 nucleotides) under Callithrix jacchus (white-tufted-ear marmoset). RNAcentral describes it as "Eukaryotic large subunit ribosomal RNA". It matches the Rfam family "Eukaryotic large subunit ribosomal RNA", at positions 2136 to 2335 of the family's 3401-position model. The record is from Rfam by way of RNAcentral. Lineage: Eukaryota; Metazoa; Chordata; Mammalia; Primates; Cebidae.
GUAUUCCUUAUAAAACUGAAACUCUGGUGAAGGACCGUGGCAGGUGUUGAUGUGAUGUGAUUUCUGCCCAGUGCUCUCAGUGUCAAAGUGAAGAAAUUCGAUGACGCGCGGGUAAAGGGCGGGAGUAACUAUGGUUCUCCUAAGGUAGCCAAAUGCCUCGUCAUCUGAUUAGUGACGCGCAUGAAUAGAUGAAUGAGAUUC